AUUGAACGCUGGCGGAAUGCUUUACACAUGCAAGUCGAACGGUAGAGGGGGCAACCCCUUGAGAGUGGCGAACGGGUGAGUAAUAUAUCGGAACGUGCCCAGGUCGUGGGGGAUAACGUAGCGAAAGUUACGCUAAUACCGCAUACGAUCUAAGGAUGAAAGCGGGGGAUCGCAAGACCUCGCGCGAUUGGAGCGGCCGAUAUCAGACUAGGUAGUUGGUGAGGUAAAGGCUCACCAAGCCGACGAUCUGUAGCUGGUCUGAGAGGACGACCAGCCACACUGGGACUGAGACACGGCCCAGACUCCUACGGGAGGCAGCAGUGGGGAAUUUUGGACAAUGGGCGCAAGCCUGAUCCAGCAAUGCCGCGUGCAGGAUGAA
This 379-nucleotide ribosomal RNA is filed under the name uncultured bacterium. RNAcentral's name for it is "bacterial SSU rRNA". It matches the Rfam family "Bacterial small subunit ribosomal RNA", at positions 30 to 412 of the family's 1533-position model. The record is from RNAcentral.